This 5930-nucleotide long non-coding RNA is filed under the name Lactuca sativa (garden lettuce). Its description in RNAcentral is "long non-coding RNA (LSAT_LNC009937)". The record is from RNAcentral. Lineage: Eukaryota; Viridiplantae; Streptophyta; Magnoliopsida; Asterales; Asteraceae.
AAAUGAGUUACAAAGGUUAACCUAGACUAUCAACUCAAUAUAAAUGCCUAGGCUAGAAACACGAGUGUUACAAUUCUCUCCCCCUUAGGAUGAUUCCGUCCCCGGAAUCACAUAUCACCAAACAACUGCGGGUAGCGACUCAUCAUGUCACUCUCCGUUUCCCAAGUGAGAUUUGGUCCAUUCGUAUGUUUCCAGCGCACAAGCACUAAAUCGACCAUCUUGCGUCGUAACUUCAUAGUCUUACGGUCAACGAUUGCCUCAGGUUCUUCGAUCAACCUCUUGUUUUCAUCCAACCUUAACUCAGAAAUCGGAAUUAUGUCGGGCACAUCUCCUGUGAACUUUCUCAAAUAACACACAUGAAAGGUGUUAUGAAUACCCUCUAGUUCUUCCGGUAACUCUAGCUUGUAAGCUUGAUUCCCGAUCCUCUGAAGAACUUUAAAUGGUCCAAUAAACCUUGGACUCAACUUCCCUCGUUUCCCAAAUCUUAUAAGUCCCUUCCACGGCGAGACUUUAAGUAAAACCGAAUCUCCAACAUCGAAGGAUAUCGGUUGUCUUUUCUUGUCAGCAUAACUCUUUUGUCGAUCUUGAGCAGCUAACAUCCUUUCCCUUAUCACUUUCAACUUUUCAGCAGUCUCAUGGACUAUUUCAGGUCCCAUAAACUGCUUUUCCCCAGCUUCCAGCCAACAUGAUGGCGUUCGACACUUCUCCCCAUACAAAGCGUGAUAAGGUGCCAUCUUAAUGCUUGAGUGGAAACUAUUAUUAUAGGUGAAUUCUACUAAAGGUAAGUGUUCAUCCCAGUUACCUUGAAAUUCUAGGGUACAUGCUCUCAGCAUAUCCUCCAACGUUUGAAUCGUCCAUUCGCUCUGACCAUCGGUUUGCAGAUGGUAAGCUGUAUUCAAACACAACUUGGUACCCAAUUCCUCUUGUAGACUCCUCCAAAACCUUGAGGUAAAACGGCUAUCACGAUCGGACACAAUCGUUAACGGAACACCGUGAAGCCUCACAAUUUCCUUCACGUAAGAAUUCGCAAGUUUAUCCAUAGACCAUUUCUCUUUGGCCGCUAUGAAAUGCGCACUCUUAGUGAAGCGAUCAACGACUACCCAAAUCAUGUCGUGACCGUUCCUUGUUCUGGGCAGUUUAGUCACAAAAUCCAUGGUGACGUCUUCCCAUUUACCCAUGGGUACGGGUAAAGGUUCUAAACUCCCAUACGGUUUCUGAUGUUGUGCCUUAACCCUAGCACAAGUUACACACUCGGCCACAUACCUAGCAACAUCGAGCUUCAUCGUGGGCCACUAGUAAUAGGUUUUUGGAUCCCUAUACAUUUUUGUACUGCCGGGAUGAAUCGAGUACAUGGUCUUGUGAGCUUCUUCCAUCAGAAGAUCUCUUACUCCUCCCGUCUUAGGUACCCAAAUUCUAUCUUGAAAUACCUUCAACCCUUGGUUGUUUGUACCGAACACUAACGUUUUGCCCAAACAUUCUUCCUUUCGGUCAUUUUUCUCUAAAGCUUCCUCUUGAGCUUUCUUUAUACUUUCCACAAUUGUCGAGACAACUUCAAUUCUCAACGCUCUUGGCCUUUUCUUUUCAAGGUUUACCUUCCGACUGAGAGUAUCAGCAACAACAUUUGCUUUACCAGGGUGGUAAAGUAUCUCACAGUCGUAGUCCUUGAGUAACUCUAGCCAGCGUCGUUGCCUCAGUGCAUACGCUAUCACUUCAUCCCUUUGGGUCAGAAUACAACUUAACCCAACUUCUUUAACAACGAACGUGAUACUUCUAUUGAUCGCUUUGAUCAGCCUUUACUUCAAUUCGGCUUAAGUCAACUGCUACAUCGAACUUGGUUCUCUGAACCACAUAACCAACUCAUCGUAGUCGGACUCAAUUCGAUAUGACCACUAGGGUCGGAAUAACAAUCAUCUUCUUAGUCAUUACCGAAACGAUGGUAACAACAGAUUAGAACAAGACGGAAUCAAAUAAUAGCUUCUUGGUAACCUUGUGACUUUCCCUGAUCCAAGUGCGAGUCCUGUGCUUCCAGUAGUAUAGAUCUCUACUACUAUUCACACCUACUCAUACUCGUCCCAAGUACUGUCUCGCAGUCCCCAAGUCCUAAAAUCACAAAACAAUUUAACACAUGAAAAUGUGUCCAAUUAAUCAUAAAAUUUUCCUAGACUCUACUAGGACUUCUUUCAUCUGUUCACCUAACAUCGUACGUACCAUUGCCUGCACUCCAGUCAUCGUGAUUGGCUCAGGCUGUGGAUUAUCACUUUCGAACCCACUUUGAGUACUCGGCAUUUCGAUCUAUACACCAAUCGUAGGUGAAUUUAGAUCCUCAUUUUUGUUAGAUGUUAAGUCUUCGAAACGUUUAUAUGUUAGUUCCAAUACCGUAGUCAUACGUUUAGAAUCCUACACACAUAAGGUUUCCAGAUCCGGUCGGCAACAGACCAUAGAUCCGUACAAAUAAUGGCACACAUGGCAAACACAUAGCAUUUAGCACAUAAGGGCAUUUUAGGCAUCUUCCCUAAAAUAAACUAGUGCUCGUGUCUAAAAUAUGGUAGACACUCAUCUCACAAUCAUCACUUAGCAUUCUAAGUUUAAGUCUAGAAAUUCUACAAUUUCUUAGUUCGCUUAAACUAAUGCUCUGAUACCAACUGUGACAUCCCCAAUUUCACGGCCAGAAAAGACCGAUUUCGUUUAUGCUUUUUAAAAUAAAAUCAGAGUAUUUCAUUAAAAGUGUUGCGGAAUUUGUUCCCAAAGUCAAACAUGAUAAAAAUUUAUCAAAACCUUGCUUUAAGAAAUAUAUAUUUUUAUUUCAUAACAAAACCUCGGGAUGUCAUGUUCCGAUACAGAUCAAAAGCAUAAACAAGACAUUAUAAGCCUUACAACAGUUAUUUAUAACUAAUGGCCUAUAAUCCAAAAUCACUCAUCAUCAUCAUCCGACUAUGCUCGGGGUCCACUACCUGUAAUCAUAAAAAGCUGAGUGGGUCAGGCUUGGAAGCCUGGUGAGCAUAUAGGGUUUUCAACCCACAAUACAUAAAUUUAUUAUGUUUAAACAUCAAUCAGUCAACCAAAUUACCCCAAUUACCCAUUCCCGUUAUCCUCACGUUACGUCCCUAAAACAACUAUCACAAGGAACCUAGCCUAAGGAUUUUCAUUAGGGGUGACAACAUUGCUUUCUCAGCAAUUUAUGUCAAAUAAAACAAACACCGGGGUGACAACAUUGUUUUCCUUCAACAAUUUAUGUCAAAUAGGCACGAAGUCACAUUGUCGCCAAGAUUUAUCUAAUCGGCACGACGUCACAUCGUCACCAAGAUUUACUCAACAGGAACUAACAACAUCGAUCCCCACAUACUAACUUUAUACAGUGAUCUUACUAGAUCUAACCUAAAGAAUCGAUAUGAACAACUAACUAACUAAACUGCUUCAGAAAUCCUCUAGCAGUAAACAAGGAUCGAUAAAGAUAUUGAAUGAAUGGACUAAGUUUAACUACGAACCUUUGUUCGUAAAAGAAAGAACCACAAGACAAUUAAGUCAGGGGUAGUUAUCAAUGCCUAGGCUGUGGUCUGAAUAUCGUGAGGUAUAUAACCCCCAGACGCACCCUAUCCAGCAUCGAACUUUGCCUAGGCUGUGGUCUGAAUAUCGUGAGGUAUAUAACCCCCAGACGCACCCUAUCCGGCAAUGGAAACACUAACUAAUGCCUAGGUUGUGGUCUGAAUAUCGUGAGGUAUAUAACCCCCAGACUCACCCCUAUCCGGCAUCGGAAAUGAAAACACUAACUAAUGCCUAGGCUGUGGUCUGAACCCCCAGACUCACCCCUAUCCGGCAUCGGAAAGGAAAACACUGACUCAUGAAGCUCGUCCGAUCACUUCACAAAAGAAACGAAGACUCCAAAUCUCUUCAAAAUAAAAGCAUAGGGAAAAUACUAAUAAAGUACUCCCGUACGCUCCCGUACCCCGACACGUAAUAGUGUCAAAAAGAAGAAUUAACGGAUGAACACAUAGUUCAAAAACACCUAAGGAACAUAUAGUUCAAGAACACUUUAUGAACAUAUAGUUCAAACAUAUGUACCGAUUACGAGUCUACUAACGUUCCACUGGACUAUCUAAAAUAGUCUGUGGCCGUUGUCUAUACUCUGUUAGAUGACUAGAUCAUCUUAAACAUCGAUACCUCUCAUCACUUUAUUUUAUCACACACCAACUAACUACCCAUGUUCUACCCAACAUAUUUGUAGAUAAAAAUAUAUAUACAGUUUAAAACUUGUAUAGAAUAUCAACACAACAGUCACCUCAAAUAAACAAUUAACAUAUUUACACGUAACACGUAUUUUAAGGUAAAUACUUCAUAUCUAUGUGUAAAUUGAAAGUGAAUAUACACUCACUUGAUUUGAUGAUAAUCGGGCAGCAAUUCGUUUCCUAAAACGAUCGUUUUUAAUAAAACCGGGAGUUUUAUUAAGAAACCGGGCUCUGCGAAAGGUCGGGCUUCGAAACCGAAAAGAUAAAUUUUCCGGGCUUCUCGGGCACUUCGUGGAGUAUUCCGGGCUUUACAAUCGAUACCGGGGCUUUGCGGGAUGUUAAGGUGAAGAAAAUAUGAAGAAAGGGGUGAAAAAUGGCAAAUUUCCAAAGUUACCCGGGAAGGCUCGCAGCCUUCUAUUUAUAGGGAAGACCUUCUGAUCGGACGGUCAGGAGUCUUCUGAUCCGACGGCUGAGAAGGCUCGCAGAGGGGGAGGCUCGCAUGAGGGCUGCGCGUGCGAAGGAGCUGCUGGCGGCCUGUGAUUGGACCGAAGUUCGGAUCCGAUGAGGGAAGCACGUGGCUUCUGCGAGGGCUCGGACACGAGGGAGAAGGCACGCGUCGGAUCUUCACUGGACCACUUCGGAUAGGGCCAUGUGCUCGGAUGACUCAGCAGCUUGGUGACUCAGCAGCUUCGGUGACUCAGCAGGACACGUGUCACAUGCGAGGCGAGGGUGACGUGGCAAAGUGUGACUAUGCGAAAUUUCUCGGUUUUCGCGCCAAAACUUCUAAAAUCCAUAACUUUCGCAUACGAGCUCCGUUUUUGACGUUCUUUAUAUGCACGCGUAGCUAAAAUUACGAUCUACAACUUCCGUUUAGACUUCGUCGGCUAAUUUUGACUUUAAAUUUUAUAUUAUUAUUUUUAACAGACCGGGACAGGAAAUCCGUUAAAAAUUCAUAACUUCUUCAUCCGACGUCCGUUUUCGUCAGACUUUUUACCGUUGUGCUCCUAAUGACGAGACCUUCAAUUCUCGUUUAGGUUGUGUCGGCUAAAAAUCGCUCGAUCUAAAAUUCGAGUUUUUAGCUGUCUACUGCUACGCUGAAACUUCGAAAAAUCAUAACUUCCUCAUACGAAGUCAGAUUUGGGCGUUCUUUUUAUCGAACUUCUCGGUUUAACGAAUACUACGACUUUCGUUUAGAUUACUAAGGCUAAAAAGUAGUUUAUCAAAAACUCACUUUUUACGACAUUCAGCACCGUGCCGGUUUUGUCGCGAAACUUCGACAGGUCAUAACUUCUUCGUUAUAACUCGGAUUUUGGUAUUCUUUAUAUCCCCGAAAUCCUUGUUUCGACCACUACAACUUUAUGUAAAGAUAUCGGGCUUAUCUCACACUUUAAUUUUGACGCUUAUUUUUAUUCUUAAUUAAUUAAGCCCUAAUAAUUAAGCAUAAAACACAUAAUUCACAUAAUAUUCACAUAAUUCCUUUUCAUUUCUUCAAAAUGAGUUACAAAGGUUAACCUAGACUAUCAACUCAAUAUAAAUGCCUAGGCUAGAAACACGAGUGUUACAAUUCUCUCCCCCUUAGGAUGAUUCCGUCCCCAGAAUCACAUAUCACCAAACAACUGCGGGUAGCGACUCAUCAUGUCACUCUCCGUUUCCCAAGUGAGAUUUGGUCCAUUCGUAUGUUUCCAGCGCACAAGCACUAAAUCGACC